GAGAUCAUACUUUAGGUUCUA
Molecule: non-coding RNA, 21 nt
Filed under: Arabidopsis thaliana (thale cress)
Lineage: Eukaryota; Viridiplantae; Streptophyta; Magnoliopsida; Brassicales; Brassicaceae
Source: RNAcentral